Non-coding RNA from Caerostris darwini, 84 nucleotides. Lineage: Eukaryota; Metazoa; Arthropoda; Arachnida; Araneae; Araneidae. The record is from the annotation of a GenBank genome assembly.
GUAGUCGUGGCCGAGUGGUUAAGGCGAUGGAGUAGAAAUCCAUUGGGUCCAUCCAAGCGCAGGUUCGAAUCCUGCCGAACUACG